GGGCUGCUAGCUCAGGUGGUUAGAGCGCACCCCUGAUAAGGGUGAGGUCGGUGGUUCGAGUCCACUGCGGCCCA
Non-coding RNA from Acinetobacter sp. CAG:196, 74 nucleotides. The record is from Rfam. NCBI's taxonomy places the organism in Bacteria, Pseudomonadati, Pseudomonadota, Gammaproteobacteria, Moraxellales, Moraxellaceae.